Molecule: ribosomal RNA, 203 nt
Filed under: uncultured bacterium
Lineage: Bacteria
Description: partial 16S ribosomal RNA
Rfam family: Bacterial small subunit ribosomal RNA
Source: RNAcentral
UCUAAGAAAGAAGUUAAUACCCGAUGUUAUAGUCCUACCGCAUGAUGGGAUUAUUAAAGAAUUUCGGUAUGGGAUGGGGAUGCGUUCCAUUAGUUAGUUGGCGGGGUAACGGCCCACCAAGACAACGAUGGAUAGGGGUUCUGAGAGGAAGGUCCCCCACAUUGGAACUGAGACACGGUCCAAACUCCUACGGAAGGCAGCAG